This 1325-nucleotide ribosomal RNA is filed under the name metagenome. RNAcentral's name for it is "bacterial LSU rRNA". It matches the Rfam family "Bacterial large subunit ribosomal RNA", at positions 1561 to 2925 of the family's 2925-position model. The record is from RNAcentral.
AGUGGAUGGGGAGCAACCUAGUUGUGCGUGUGUAAAGGUAGUGCCAAGAAAAGCGAUGAUCAUGUUGAAAAUCAAUUCCCGGUACCCGAAACCGACACAGGUGGGCAAGUAGAGAAUACUAAGGGGCGCGAGGUAACUCUCUCCAAGGAACUCGGCAAAAUGACCCCGUAACUUAGGGAGAAGGGGUGCCACCGAGAGGUGGUCGCAGUGAAGAGGUCCAGGCGACUGUUUAGCAAAAACAUAGGUCUCUGCAAACUCGAGAGAGGAGGUAUAGGGGCUGACGCCUGCCCAGUGCCGGAAGGUUAAAGAAGUUGGUCAGUCUUAGGAUGAAGCUAGCGACUGAAGCCCCGGUGAACGGCGGCGGUAACUAUAACGGUCCUAAGGUAGCGAAAUUCCUUGUCGGGUAAGUUCCGACCCGCACGAAAGGCGUAACGAUCUGGGCGCUGUCUCGGAGAGAGGCUCGGCGAAAUAGGAUUGUCUGUGAAGAUACGGACUACCUGCAUUUGGACAGAAAGACCCUAUGAAGCUUUACUAUAGCUUGGAAUUGUGUUCGGGCUUCCUGUGCGCAGGAUAGGUGGGAGGCGUAGAAGGUAUUCUUGUGGGGAUACUGGAGCCAACGGUGAGAUACCACUCUCAGGAGGCUAGAAUUCUAACUUAAUUAAGGACAGUUUCAGGUGGGUAGUUUGACUGGGGCGGUCGCCUCCAAAAAGGUAACGGAGGCGUACAAAGGUUCCCUCAGACUGGUUGGAAAUCAGUCGAAGAGUGCAAAGGCAGAAGGGAGCUUGACUGCGAGAAGUACAGUUCGAGCAGGGUGGAAACACGGUCUUAGUGAUCCGACGGUGCUGUGUGGAAGGGCCGUCGCUCAACGGAUAAAAGUUACUCUAAGGAUAACGGCUGAUCUCCCCCAAGAGUUCACAUCGACGGGGAGGUUUGGCACCUCGAUGUCGGCUCAUUGCAACCUGGGGCGGAAGUACGUCCCAAGGGUUGGGCUGUUCGCCCAUUAAAGCGGUACGUGAGCUGGGUUCAGAACGUCGUGAGACAGUUCGGUCCAUAUCCGAUGUAGGCGUGAGAAUAUUGAGAGGAGCCUUCCUUAGUGCGAGAGGACCGGGAAGGACGCACCGCUGGUGUACCUGUUAUGAUGCCAAUUGUAAACGCAGGGUAGCCAAGUGCGGAGAGGAUAACCGCUGAAAGCAUCUAAGUGGGAAGCCCACCUCAAGAUGAGUAUUCUGGUGUAAGGUCACGGGAAGACGACCCGUAAAUAGGCACGAGGUGGAAGUGCAGAGAUGUAUGAAGCCGAAGUGUACUAAUAGACCGUCGGCUUGACC